RNAcentral lists this ribosomal RNA (253 nucleotides) under uncultured bacterium. RNAcentral describes it as "partial 16S ribosomal RNA". It matches the Rfam family "Bacterial small subunit ribosomal RNA", at positions 524 to 776 of the family's 1533-position model. The record is from RNAcentral.
GACGAACCGUGCGAACGUUAUUCGGAAUCAUUGGGCUUAAAGCGCGUGUAGGCGGAUGGGAACGUCGGCUUUGAAAGCCCCCGGCUCAACCGGGGAAUUGGCGCCGAAACGACCCGUCUGGAGGGGCAUAGGGGGAGCUGGAACUUCCGGUGGAGCGGUGAAAUGCGUUGAGAUCGGAAGGAACGCCCGUGGCGAAAGCGAGCUCCUGGAUGUCUUCUGACGCUGAGACGCGAAAGCUAGGGUAGCGAACGGG